UACGGAAGGCAGCAGUGGGGAAUAUUGCACAAUGGGCGAAAGCCUGAUGCAGCUAUGCCGCGUGUAUGAAGAAGGCCUUAGGGUUGUAAAGUACUUUCAUCGGGGAGGAAAAAAACAAAAACUAAUAAUUUUAUUUCUUGACGUUACCCGAAAAAGAAGCACCGGCUAACUCCGUGCCAGCAGCCGCGGUAAUACGGAGGGUGCUAGCGUUAAUCAGAAUUACUGGGCGUAAAGAGCACGUAGGUGGUUUUUUUAAAGUUCAGAUGUGAAAUCCCUGGGCUUAACCUAGGAACUGCAUUUUGAAACUGAAAUACUAGAGUAUCGUAGAGGGAGGUAGAAUUCUAGGUGUAGCGGUGAAAUGCGUAGAUAUCUGGAGGAAUACCGGUGGCGAAGGCGGCCCCUGGACAAAGACUGACGCUCAUGUGCGAAAGCGUGGGGAGCAAACAGGGAUUAGAUACC
This 459-nucleotide ribosomal RNA is filed under the name uncultured bacterium. Its description in RNAcentral is "bacterial SSU rRNA". It matches the Rfam family "Bacterial small subunit ribosomal RNA", at positions 340 to 786 of the family's 1533-position model. The record is from RNAcentral.